CUCCAAAAAGCCAUUUUGCAACCAGUUAGAGGUACACAAAGUCGCCUGUUUUUGAAACACUUUAUCGUUCGUAAAACACUCAAGCUUCAUUGUAUCAAUAUGCAACUCAAGAACAAAAUGAGUCUCUCAGAGGGGGAAAAGAUGGUAUUUCUAGUUAAAGUGUGACGCGGCUACUAACGCAUGCAUUGAUUUACUGAACAAAAAAA
Long non-coding RNA from Amphimedon queenslandica, 206 nucleotides. RefSeq lists it as uncharacterized. The transcript is spliced from 2 exons. Lineage: Eukaryota; Metazoa; Porifera; Demospongiae; Haplosclerida; Niphatidae. The record is from RefSeq and is a predicted model, not a curated record.